GAUGAAGAACGUAGCGAAAUGCGAUAAGUAAUGUGAAUUGCAGAAUUCAGUGAAUCAUCGAAUCUUUGAACGCACAUUGCGCCCAUUAGUAUUCUAGUGGGCAUGCCUGUUCGAGCGUCAUUUAGUCCACUUAAGCCCUUUGCUUAGUAUUGGGAAUCUACUUUUUGCGGGAGCUACCCUGUAGCUGCCGUUGUAGUUCCUCAAAGACAGCGGCGGAGUCGUGGUUUUACUCUGAGCUUAGUAAUUUUUUUCUAGCUUUCGAGUUGCCAUAACCCCCUUGCCGUAAAACACCCUUUAUUUUUUAAUGGUUGACCUCGGAUCAGGUAGGAAUACCCGCUGAACUUAAGCAUAUCAAUAAGCGGAGGA
Molecule: unclassified non-coding RNA, 366 nt
Filed under: soil metagenome
Description: partial contains 5.8S ribosomal RNA, internal transcribed spacer 2, and large subunit ribosomal RNA
Rfam family: 5.8S ribosomal RNA (bases 1-120)
Source: RNAcentral